This 253-nucleotide ribosomal RNA is filed under the name uncultured bacterium. Its description in RNAcentral is "partial 16S ribosomal RNA". It matches the Rfam family "Bacterial small subunit ribosomal RNA", at positions 524 to 776 of the family's 1533-position model. The record is from RNAcentral.
UACGAAGGGGGCUAGCGUUGCUCGGAAUCACUGGGCGUAAAGGGUGCGUAGGCGGGUCUUUAAGUCAGGGGUGAAAUCCUGGAGCUCAACUCCAGAACUGCCUUUGAUACUGAGGAUCUCGAGUCCGGAAGAGGUUGGUGGAACUGCGAGUGUAGAGGUGAAAUUCGUAGAUAUUCGCAAGAACACCAGUGGCGAAGGCGGCCAACUGGUCCGGUACUGACGCUGAGGUGCGAAAGCGUGGGGAGCAAACAGG